AAUCUCUUUCUCGGCAACCAAGGAACACCACCCUCACCAAUGUACAUCAUCAUCACCACCAACAUUAAUGUGCCAUUUUUUUCUCUCUAUUUCUAAUUUCUUCUACUUUCACGACCCUCUCUCAAAUUUACCCCAAAAUACAGUUCGUCGGUGUUUGAAAUCUCUGUGUCGCAACCGAUCUGAAUCUCUGUGUCAGUGUCGGUGUUUGAAAUAUCUAUGUAGCAAACGAUCGAAGUCUUUGCGUUGUUUUUUAAAAUCUAUGGCUGUCUCCCGCUGUUUUCAGGUGAAGGUUUCUCAUCUCCUUCAUAACUAGAAGGAUCUGUUGGACCCACCCCAUCGUUUGGACAGAGGAAAACUCACGCCUUUCUGCACGGACUUCUUGUCUUCGGACAUCAACAGGCGUCGAUCUCCAACGCAAAGGACAACUACAGCGAGGCUCCAGCGUGGCACGGGCGGGCAUGAGUAAAGACGCGUUGGAGACAGUCUUAUAUUAAUAUUGUUCCGUUGAUUUUUGUUUUAAUUUUGAAAUAUGUUUGUUUAAUAUUAGGUUAGGAUGUUGAUUUUGUUAAAUUUGAGAUGUUAAGGUUUGUUUAAUCAACGAAUCAAAUGGAGAUUGAGCCGAUAAUUCCGGCGAAUUAGCGGGCAACGUUAGUAAUAUGGUUCUAAAUGUAUAUCACUGGUGCUAAUUUCUGAUUUUGUUUCCCAUGAUUUUCAAUCUGUUAUUUUCAUUAAUACACUGUGUCCAGGUUAAUUUUUUAGAUUGAGAUCUGUAUGUUAAUACAUUGUUGAUUGGUUCCAGGUUCAUAUGUAUUUUCUCCGUCGAUUUGCGAAAGAUCAUUAGGUAUGCAUACACAAUUCACCCCCUCUGAUUCGUUAAUAUUAUCAUCUCAACUCAAUCGAUCAUCUGUAACGACGAUCUAAACCUGAUUCUGUAUCGUUUCGUGUUUUUUUUUUUUUUUUUUUUUUGCUUUUUUAAUCAGAUUCAAUAAGAUUAUUAGGUUUUUGUGAGAUUACAAUUGAGGAUUGUGUUUGGAUUAGAAUCGAGAUUGAUUCAUGGAGAAAUCGAUGAGAGAUUCAGGAAAACGAUGCACGAAUUAGCGGUUGAUUGUCGAACGACGUCGAAUGGAGCAGUUUAUUUGAGCGGUUGAUUGUCUAACUUUUAUUUCAUAUGACUUAACUUCAAAUUUCUCGAAUCCAUCAAGAUAUUACCCGUUUUCUGUAGCUUUCAAGGGUAUCCAGAUGAGGCACAUGUUUCACCGUAAUUGAAUGGGAUAUAGAAAGCUUUGAUUGUCUUUGAUGCUUUCUUUGAUUUUGAUUCCAUUCUCUGUCGAAUUUAGAAUUUCUGUGCUCCAUGAAUUGAAUAGUAUCAUUCAUACGUACUGAAAGAAGAUCUGAUUUAUUUUGAAGGACUGCGUUUGAUAAUUCAGAUCUGAGUUGUUGAUGUUUCUGUCGAAACCUGAUUCGGAUUUGAGCAUUAGAUGUUAGUUGAAAAUUGUGUUGUGACUGAAUUUGAGUUUGAUAGUAAAGAAGUUGUUAAGCUGUUGAGAUUUGAAUUAUAGUUUCGAAGUGUCAUUUGAGAAUUUCGAACUGUUUCGAUCAAUUCAGGUUGAAAUUUCAUUCAUUACGGACUGAUUUGGAUCUGUUUGUUGUAUCGUUUGAAUAUUUUGAACUGAAUCGGUAUGUUUUAGAUCGAAGUUUGGACUGUUAUGAAUCAAAGUCAGUGUUAAUCAUUCACGGACUGUUGUUGGGAUUUUUUUGAUAGUUACGGAUCAACUUAAUCAUCUGCAGAACUGAUCCGAACAAGUCUGCAGAAAUAGUGUCCGUUCGAUAAAACAGUGUCCAUUUACCGUAAUUAGUUAAUUCGCUGCUGCAAAUUCUUUUCACUCGCAACCCGACUUUAUUAAGGUUCGGGUAAGUUGGGUUUCUCACGUUAAGAGGGUCGGCUUGAUUGGGUUAGUCUGGUUAAUUUAAGUUAUAUGAUUAUUUAAAUUAUCAUCGGAUAUUAACAUUUAAGUAAGUUAAAAGAUGUAAUUUGUUAGGAAGAUAAUUAUCAUCGGAUAUUCACAGUAAAAGAUCAAAGGGCACCAAGUAGCACAAACAAGAUUUGGGCCAUUUUCAUCCCUAUUUGUAUGGGAUUAGUCAUUCUAUUUGGCAUAUCUGUGAUGAUCAUCAUGAAGAAGAAAAAGGUUAAGUUACAAGGAAGAUAUGAUUCAAGUAUUUAAGCAUUUUUAUCCCUCAAUUAGGAACAAAGAUUGAUGCACUCUUGCUGUAGUAAGAAAGGCGGCGGAAAAUGGCGAUGGCAAAUAGGAUUCGUCAUCCAUUCCAAUGAGCAAGUGAACCAAGUACAAGAAGGAGGCUAACAGGAUCUCGAAUACAUGAGGAUUUAUAGACUAACACGUUCACCUGAAUACAUUGGAUGAACCGGUAGCUAAAGAUGUAGGAUGAAGCACAAGAAGACGGACAUUGCAAAAUCAUAAUAGUUGAGGUAUUGCAAGAUCGGAUCAAAAUGUGAAAUAAGGUGAAGUGUAGCUGGGGAAUUGGAGAACAAAACAGAUAAUCCACACUUAAUUAAUUCUUUUGAUAUCCGUUUGUGUAGAUCAGUUACUUAUUUUGUCAAUAGAUAAAUCUUUAAUAGAUUUAUAAUAAUCGAAAAUCGUUAAUGGA
This is a long non-coding RNA of Helianthus annuus (common sunflower), 2664 nucleotides long. RefSeq lists it as uncharacterized. The record is from RefSeq and is a predicted model, not a curated record. The transcript has 4 exons. Lineage: Eukaryota; Viridiplantae; Streptophyta; Magnoliopsida; Asterales; Asteraceae.